RNAcentral lists this long non-coding RNA (907 nucleotides) under Cottoperca gobio. RNAcentral describes it as "lncRNA (ENSCGOG00000009482.1)". The record is from RNAcentral. Lineage: Eukaryota; Metazoa; Chordata; Actinopteri; Perciformes; Bovichtidae.
GAGGGAUCUCUGCAGAGUGAAAUACUAAUGUAGUGUACAGUCGGUGUGAUUCAUACCGUGGUUUAUGGGGCUGCAGCGGGAGGCGGUGCAUGUCAGCCUGACAACGCAGGCAGACAUGUGCUGAAAGCCAAACCGUGUUUGUCGUUGUGUUUUCACAGCUAUGAUGGAAACCACAACAAGAAUCGGUUUUGCUGCGAGGACAAAAGGACGACUCCGACUGUUCCCUCGUCGUCACGAUCUCAUCUGUGCUUCUCCUUCCUUGUUUUGCAGGCCGGUGCAGAGAUUUGCGACAUCACUCGUUAUCAUCCAGUGCAUUUUGACCUCAACCGGAACCAACGAUCUACCAGGACACAAAAUGACAACAGUGACAACAUUCAGAGCUCAGGCACUCAGUGAGGACCCGAGCUUCUCCAGGCAAAACAACCAAAAGGAAAUGUGUGAGGAGAAGAGAUCAAAUGAACUAUAAGAGGAAGAACAGCAGACACUGAGGAACACAAGGAAACAGAAAGCAUCAGCAGUAAUUAGAAAAAGGAACUUUUAUUUGCUUAGUUCUUAAUUACAUUGUUAUUUGUUUAUUUAAAAAUAUGUAACUGUUUCUGUGCUAAACUAUCUUAAAUCAUAACUCUUUUUAGUAAUUAAUACGUUGAUUAUUUGUAUGAAAACAAAGUAAGCAUUAAGCCUUAUCAGAGAGUUUGCGAUUCCAAACAGAAAAUGAAAAGGAGGUUCUAUCUGAACAAGCUCAUUUAAAAAUGUUGUUGGAGUGAUUACAUGUUUGCCUUUAGGGUGCCUGUUAUUAAAAGAGGGAUUGUUUGAAUACCCUUUCCACUAUCAAAUAUGUAAAAACUGAAAUUUGAAUUUGAAUCCAUCUCCAAAGCAAGACACAAGAUAGAUAGAGACGAUAUUUUAG